Molecule: ribosomal RNA, 441 nt
Filed under: uncultured bacterium
Lineage: Bacteria
Description: partial 16S ribosomal RNA
Rfam family: Bacterial small subunit ribosomal RNA
Source: RNAcentral
CCUACGGGGUGCAGCAGUGGGGAAUAUUGGACAAUGGGGGAAACCCUGAUCCAGCGACGCCGCGUGAGUGAAGAAGUAUUUCGGUACGUAAAGCUCUAUCAGCAGGAAAGAAAAUGACGGUACCUGACUAAGAAGCCCCGGCUAACUACGUGCCAGCAGCCGCGGUAAUACGUAGGGGGCAAGCGUUAUCCGGAUUUACUGGGUGUAAAGGGAGCGCAGACGGCAGUGCAAGUCUGGAGUGAAAGCCCGGGGUCCAACCCCGGAACUGCUCUGGAAACUGUGCGGCUAGAGUACUGGAGGGGCAGGCGGAAUUCCUAGUGUAGCGGUGAAAUGCGUAGAUAUUAGGAGGAACACCAGUGGCGAAGGCGGCCUGCUGGACAGUAACUGAUGUUGAGGCUCGAAAGCGUGGGGAGCAAACAGGAUUAGAUACCCCUGGUAGUC